RNAcentral lists this ribosomal RNA (442 nucleotides) under uncultured bacterium. RNAcentral describes it as "partial 16S ribosomal RNA". It matches the Rfam family "Bacterial small subunit ribosomal RNA", at positions 338 to 795 of the family's 1533-position model. The record is from RNAcentral.
CCUACGGGCGGCAGCAGUAGGGAAUCUUUCACAAUGGGCGAAAGCCUGAUGGAGCAACGCCGCGUGCAGGAUGAAGGCCUUCGGGUUGUACACUGCUUUUAUAAGCGAGAAAUAUGAUGGUAACUUAUGAAUAAGGAUCGGCUAACUACGUGCCAGCAGCCGCGGUCAUACGUAGGAUCCGAGCAUUAUCCGGAGUGACUGGGUGUAAAGAGUUGCGUAGGUGGCAUAAUAAGUAGCUAGUGAAAUCUGGUGGCUCAACCAUUCAGACUAUUAGCUAAACUGUUAAGCUCGAGACCGUUAGGGGUAACUGGAAGUUCUAGUGUAGGAGUGAAAUCCGUAGAUAUUAGAAGGAACACCAAUAGCGUAGGCAGGUUGCUGGGACGGUUCUGACACUAAGGCACGAAAGCGUAGGGAGCAAACGGGAUUAGAUACCCGGGUAGUC